UUUCUUGUAUUUCUUAUUUUUAAUUUUUUGCGGAGUGAACCUAAUAUGUUUGCCUUUAUUGUUUGUUUUUGCUAGAAAACUAAGAAUGCUCCAAAGGUGGAAGUCGGAACUGGGACUACUGAUGCCUCAUUGGAUGAAUGGCUUCAGGUUAUGCAUCGUCAUUUACUUCCCAUAAUUUUCUAGUGCAGUUAUUGUUCUCUUUUUUCUUUUCGGUCUGUUCACCCUCUACUACUCGUAUUAUGGACCUCUGUCUUAAAUAAGUUAAAUAACAAUCUUAGUAGGGUUUAGCUGAAAAUUUCCUGAUUUGGAUGUCUUAAUUUUCAGGGAACUGCUUACACUCAGUCAGCUUCCAAAUCAAAGAAAAAGAAGUAGAUGGGGCAGUGUUUCUGAAGUUAGGCUAUUGCAACACAUGCUAGGCAUUUGGAAAAUUUCAAAGUGAAGGCACAAGUAGUUUGAGAAUUAGGCCAGGAAAAGGCAUACCUUGCUGUUGUAGCAUGUGAAAUUAAGCCUUUUUGAAGCAAAAAGGUAAGAAGCAGAAGGUUCAAUUUUAUUUGAGGAAAAUUUCCGGAUAACAUUAUAUUUUCUUGCCCCCAACCCACCAACAUUUGCUUCUUGUUUUCUAGGUUGUGGUAGAUAAAAAUUCUUGCUCAUGGAUUCCGGGUUUUGCUUGAUUGGUCUAUACAAUUUCUCUCUCAAAAGAUUCCAAAGUCUAAUGGUUGUUGGUCGAUGUUUCUUGGACGGGAACGAUAGUCAAACCGUUAAGAUCAUCAGUUUUUGGUUUGAUUUGUUCGUUCAGUUCAAAGUAAACAAAUUUAUUACAAAUUUUAAAAAAAAUAUAAAAUCUAGUUUAAUAGCUUUGUACUAAUUCGUGGGUCAAUUUUUUGUUAGAUCAGUCCAAAUAACAUUGUUGUUUGUAGUAUCAUCCUUUAUUUUUAAACAUGAUGGAGCAUAAAGGUUGGGACUUUUAAUUUUGUUGAAGACUAAUCGUAUUUUUAAUGAUGAAUGAUCUCGUCGUAUUAUUCUUACAAUUUUGUUUACAAAAAAUGUUAUUUUUAAUUUACUCGAAUAAUAUUUUUAAUAAAAUUUUAAAUAUAGAUAUUUAAAAAAGAUGUGAGGAAUAAUAUCAACUUGCGGAUAUGCUAAAAUCAUCCAUCGUCGCAAAAUCUUGUUUUAGGCUUAAAAUGAAAGUCGUCCAAGAUGGGUCCAACUUCGACCACUAAUUUAAAGUACCCAAGUGUAUGACUAUAUAAAAUUCAAUUGUAGGUGAUGAGAUAUUACCUAAAUUUGGGGCAUUAAAACCCUCCACAUCUUUGAAUGUGACUAUUAAUCCAAAAAAUGUGCUAUGAGGUUAUCACUUGUCUAAAACAUUGCUUCAAUACCCUUUGCCCCACUCACAUAAUUUACAAUUUUGCUUUGUUAUCAUUUGUGGUUUGUGAAUUUAUAUCAUUCACAAUUCAUCUCACCAAACAUUAGGGUGCAUAAUAAAUCAUAAUAGUCCCUAAUUUGCUCAAAUUCAGUAGUCUUUUGACCCCACGUUUAUUAUGCGACUUGUACCUAUAUUUUCAACAUUAAUUCUUUUCAAGAUUUUAUCAACAGCUUUAUGCUUUUUUUAUAAAAAGAAAAAUUAAUUUCUUUGAUGUGAUCAUGUUUGUUGAUUUAAGUAUACUAUUAUCUUACAAACAGUCCUUUUAUCAGAUAAAGACCUAUAAUUAUCUGAAAAAUAACUAUCGAAAUUCAUGAUCAAAAAACAAAUGUCGAAAUCUAUUAUCUUUUCAAGGCAUCAUUAAGUACUAGUUUUAACUCGUGUGUUGCACGUGAAGAAUAUAAUAGUAUAUGUUUUAAAUAAUAUCAAUGCAAUAAAAAUACUAUUAUUAACAAUAUUUUGUGAAAUAAAGUAAUUUAUAUAAUUUAUAAAUUCAUGAAUCAAUUCAUAUUAAAAUAAUUCUAUUUUUAUUUAAUUUAAAAUUUUAUAUAUUAUUAAAAAAUUAUAUAAUAAAGAUAAUAAUAUAAGCAAAUAUAAUUUAAUUAAUGUUUAUGAUUUCAUAAUGUAUUAGGCAAUUAAAAUAGGUAAUGUGAAUAAUAAUGAGUAAAUUUUGCUUAAUUAUUAAAUAUAUAAUAAAUAACUAAAAUACAAUCGGUGUAAAAAAAAACAUAAUAAUUUUUUUAACCUUCCAACUUUACAAAGAAAGUCAUUUUAACCUUUCAUUUAAUAUUGUCUUUUUUAGCUUUUAAACUUGCAUUUUUUUAUCAAAUCAUCUUAAAAUAGAUGAAAAAGUUAAUGUUUUUUCACUUUGCUGACAUGGCAUACAUAUUGAUUACUACGUGGAUGACACAUCAACAUUUUAUUAAUUUUUUAAAAUUUUAAAAAUUCAAAAAAUAUUUUUAAAAAUAAAAAAUCAUUAAAAUUAUUUUAAAAUUUUUAAAAAAUUAAUUAAAUACUAACAUGUCAUCCACAUGUAUGCAAAAACAACAAAAUUAACAAACAUAUUUAAAUGGAAGACUAAAAUUACUAUUUUAUUUUAUAAAAUUGGAAACCAAAAAUUUCAUUAUACCUAAAAAAAAUUCUUUUCUUCAACUAAAUAUAAAUUUUAUUAAUGAAAAACGAAGUAGACUGAAAGAGAUCCUUGGUUUGAGGGGACUUUAACCUCUUAUUCAAUAAUUCUUUAUUGAAUAUAAUGCCCUAAUCUAAUAGCUUAUAAUCCACAACACGAGACCGGAUAACAAAGCACUCUUUAACACUAAUAUAGAAACUAAUGCAAAUCAACAUAAAAGCUCAACCACCAACCAAUCAACAUUUUUAAGUAAUCCAAAUAAAAUAAAUAACUAUAUUCAGUAACAGACUCAGAAAUUUUUUGGAGGGGUUGGGGAAUAAAUUGUAUAUUUUUAUAAUAGUGAAAAUGUAAUUUUAUCAUUUUAUAGUAUAUAUCUUUAUAAUUUUUGUUAUUUUUUAGAGGGUAAAGUAUAAUUUUACUGUUGCCAAUUUAAAGUUAUAUAAAUUAUAAAGAGUUUAAAUGGAAAAUUAUCCAUUUUAGGAGGUCAAGGCCAUAUAUCACCAACUUGGUUAAAUGUAAAGAUUAGUGCACCAAAAAAACAAUAAUAUCCCUUUCAUUAAUAAAUUUAUAAACUUCCUUUAUAAAUAAAUUCAUUUAACUUGGACUCAAUUGUAUAACCUUCACAAUAUUCUUUUCUUUCCCUAUCCUAUCGAACAACAAUUAAAAUCUCUAAUAUUUAUCACCCGAAUGAAUCUCAUUUGAUAGUUAGUCGUGCUUAAUAAUAUUUAAAUUCGUGAUAAAUAUAUUUAAAUAAAAUCUAAAUUAAUUUUUUAUUAUAAUUAAUAAUGAGCAUGUAUAACAAUUAUCUAAAUAAGUACUACUUUAAGAUGUAAUUAUAAUUUAAAAAUUACCAAGUAUAUAUGUUGUGCAGUAUUUACAAUUUUAAAAUAGUUGCUUCAUGGAUUUUAUUAAUUAGUGCAUUAAUAAAUCAACCACAAAGCUCAGCUUAUUUGUGAUUUGCACAUGAGAAUUAUUCAAAAGCUAUCAUAUCUAAAUUAACAUGCCAGUUUUGGCAAAGCUAGUAAAAUCUCAUUGAUGGCAAAAAGUAAGGGUAAAUUCGAAAUUUUCUUCAAUUUAGCUGGUAGCCUAUUUAAGUCUCUUGCUUCAUCAUCACUUCUCUCAACGACACAUGCAAUGGUAGCUAUGGUCCCAAGUUUAGGUCAUUAAUAAAUAAAUAAAAUAUCUUACAAAUUUUAGUCUAUGCUUUAUGCUCCAUAAGCUGAAAUUUUGAAUUUAUUUAAGUUUAUAAUAUUAUUAGGAAAAAUAAUCACAAUCGUCUAAUAUGAAUCAUAAAAGUGGAUAUAAAAAAAAUUGACAGUAAUGAAAAAGCAAUUCAACAUAUAGGACAAUUGAAGUCAUUAGUUGGUUGAUUCACGUGAAGAUGUCAACUUUGUAUACAAAACUAUGCAAGGAUGUGAGAAAGUUGAGACUUAUAAGAUUUAAUUUAAUAUUUGUAAGGACUGAUUUGAUAGUUGUAUGCUGCUUUGUAAUGAACAUUUUUGUAAUUCAACCAGAAAUCAUGUAUAAGCAAAGCAAAGAUUAUAUUUAUGAAAGUGAGUAAGUAGGUUUAAACAGACAGCCUGUUUGUAGUUGAGAACUCAUUGAAUGAAAGAUAAUGUCAUUUGCACGAUGAAGCUGGCGUGGCACACAUUUCUUUUUCAAACCAUAUAACAGCAAAAGGGGAGGGGGGUCCCCAAUUCAUGUGAGGCUUUAAGUGAGGUGUCGGUGAGGCUUUGCAUUUGAUUCCCUUUAAGAUCAUUAUAUAAUAAAGCCUCUGUAUAUGCAAUCUGAUCAUCAUCACUCAAAGAUUAUUUUGUUAUGUGCUUGGCAGCUGCAAAUAAGCUGAUAUUAUUUUGAUUUGGGUUCCUAAAUCGUUGGGAGGAGGGACUGUAAAAAAGCAUAGGUUCCCCAUGCAGAUCCUCCCGUUUCGAGGAGGCGCACUUGUGUGCUUCAUUGCUUCCUUGUUAUUUGUUGCCAGUUUUUGCAAUGCCGAUGCUAAAACAGUCGAGGUUGUCGGGGCUGGUGAGUGUGCAGAUUGUGCAGAGAAUAACUUGGAGAUUAGCCAGGCUUUCUCAGGUACGUACUUUGAUCACCUACUCAUGCAUGCAUGCAUAUAUUGAGCUCGAGUAGGACUACGGGACAGCAUUAUUUUUGUAUUAUGUAGGGUUACUUUAACACUGAUGAUAUCCAUAAUAUUAUUGUUAUUAAUUUGUGUUUCUUUUUACAGGGCUACGAGUAAACAUAGACUGCAAGCCCGAAAAUGGGAAGAACUUCAAAACACGAGGAUCAGGGGAGCUUGAUAAACAAGGCAAUUUUAAAGUAUUCGUUCCAGAGGAUUUGGUUGAAAAUGGGGAACUGAAGGAAGAAUGCUAUGCACAGCUUCACAGUGUAUCGGCAGCACCUUGUCCCGCCCAUGAUGGCUUGGAGUCGGCCAAGUUAGUGUUGAAGUCCAGUAGUGAUGGGAAACACGAGUUUGGGUUAAAAGGAAAGCUCAGAUUCUCACCUCUAACCUGUGCUUCUGCCUUCUUUUGGCCUCACUUUAAGUUUCCUCCCAUGCCUAAGUGGAACCAUCCCCCUUUGCCCAAGUUUCCACUUCCCCCAUUCAAAGGCUUCCACCACCAUUAUCCAAUAAUCCCUCCCAUCUACAAGAAACCUCUUCCGCCACCGUCCCCGGUGUACAAGCCCCCUCCAGUUCCCGUAAACCCACCUGUUCCAAUCUAUAAACCUCCACCAGUUCCAGUCUAUAAACCUCCUCCAGUUCCAGUAAAACCACUUCCUCCACCUGUUCCGAUCUACAAACCUCCACCAGUUGAAAAACCACAUCCUCCACCUGUUCCAAUCUACAAACCUCCACCAGUUGAAAAACCACAUCCUCCACCUGUUCCAAUCUACAAACCUCCACCAGUUGAAAAACCACAUCCUCCACCUGUUCCAGUUUAUAAACCUCCACCAGUUGAAAAACCACAUCCUCCACCUGUUCCAGUCUAUAAACCUCCACCAGUUCCAGUAUAUAAGAAACCAUGUCCUCCACCAGUUCCAGUCUAUAAAUCUCCUCCGGUUCCAGUAUACAAGAAACCGCAUCCUCCUCCAGUUCCAGUCUAUAAGAAACCACAUCCACCUCCAGUUCCAGUAUACAAGAAACCAUGUCCUCCCCCAGUUCCAGUCUAUAAAUCUCCUCCAGUUCCGGAACCACAUCCUCCGCCAGUUCCAGUCCAUAAGCCUCCUCCAGUUCCGGUAUACAAGAAACGAGUCCCUCCUCCGGUUCCAAUCUACAAGCCCCCUCCAGUUCCUGUAUACAACAAACCACUACCUCCCCGGGUUCCAGUGUAUACGAAGCCACUUCCACCACCUGUUCCAACCUACAAUCCAAAACCCCUCCCUCCCAUUCCUUACAAGCCACUCCCUCCACUUCCCAAGAUCCCUCCAUUCCCUAAGAAGCCAUGCCCUCCCCUUCCUAAGCUACCUCCUCUUCCCAAGAUUCCUCCCAAGUAUUUCCACCACCACCCUCCUCUUCCUAAGCUGCCUCCUCUCCCUAAGAUUCCUCCCAAGUAUUUCCACCACCACCCCAAGUUCGGAAAAUGGCCUCCUUUGCCACCCUUUGCUCCCCAUCAUCCUUAAGCUAUCUUGCAUUGUUUUACGCAUUUAAUGAAGGUGGUUAGUGUGAACAAGUUCCCCAGCAGUACCUCAUGCAAUAAAUGUAGCAACAAAAGAAG
RNAcentral lists this long non-coding RNA (6265 nucleotides) under Gossypium barbadense (sea-island cotton). RNAcentral describes it as "long non-coding RNA (GBAR_LNC000810)". The record is from RNAcentral. Lineage: Eukaryota; Viridiplantae; Streptophyta; Magnoliopsida; Malvales; Malvaceae.